Molecule: long non-coding RNA, 1519 nt
Filed under: Salmo salar (Atlantic salmon)
Lineage: Eukaryota; Metazoa; Chordata; Actinopteri; Salmoniformes; Salmonidae
Description: lncRNA (ENSSSAG00000082004.1)
Rfam family: UnaL2 LINE 3' element (bases 1244-1297)
Source: RNAcentral
CUCAUCCACUGAUACUUCAGGCCCAGGGUUGUAGAGGUAUGGCCUCAUCCACUGUUACUUCAGGCCCAGGGUUGUAGAGGUAUGGCCUCAUCCACUGUUACUUCAGGCCCAGGGUUGUAGAGGUAUGGCCUCAUCCACUGUUACUUCAGGCCCAGGGUUGUAGAGGUAUGGCCUCAUCCACUGUUACUUCAGGCCCAGGGUUGUAGAGGUACGGCAGACGCUCCACCCACUUCUCCCAGACCUCUCUUAUGGCCGUCAGUUUGUCUCUCACAUGUUUUGCAGGUCUUGACUCACGGUUAUCAAAUCGUAGCAUUCUUGAGAAAGUGUGAAAGACUUUCAGUGGCAUCAUGGCAUGGAAAAUCACCCUUCCACUCUCUGCAUCCCAGAGACUACAUGUAGCCUCACCUCGAGACCUAUACACACCCGCUAAGAUUAGCAGCCCUAUGUAGACACGCAGGUCAAUCUCAUCCAUCCUUUUCCAGUUGUCUCCAUAUUUACAGAAACCCUCCAAAAAUGAUUUUUUCGAUGGCUGGUGUGAUGAGCAUGUAGAAUGUUGAGCCGAUCUCCUGGGCCUAGGCAACUGCACGUCUUGUGGGUCCUGGGGUCAUCCUUAUGACAUUUUGUGCUGCCAUCCUGCCCUGGUUGUCAUACAGUGACAAGGACCAUGUUAUUUUGCUGUUCAAGUUGAAAAAUAUCAUUUAGUGGGUUUUCUCUGCUGUUAACAUAGUGGCAGGUCAUUUUUUACCCUUAAGACAACGCAAGGGGUAAGAGCCAAAGAACUGAGGCUACAGAGACACCCCACAAAUGACUGGCCAGACCACCACACACCCCUGCAGUACACUCCUCUCCCCACCCGCCAUGUACUCACACACACACCUACAAUUUAGGCAAGAUCUAGGCCUGUAUUCACAAAUUUUCCGAGUAGGAUCACUGAUCUAGGAUUACUGACCAGGGCCCCCUUGUCCAUGUAAUUAGCAGCAAGCCUAUCAGAGGGUAAGGUGGAGCCCUCACCAUGUCACCACCCAUCAAUCACUCUCAGGCUAGGAGUUGUCUGGACACGAUUCUCCACUGAAAGAGCUUAAUCUGAGCCCGGGACACAGACCCAUUGAGAACAACAAGCAGUUAGAUUGUAUUGUUUGGUCCUGUGUGGAUCAGUUGAUAGUGGUACAGCAUGGCACUUGCAACGCCAUGGUUGUGGGUUUCGAUUCCCAAAGGUCCAACACAAAAAAAGUUUGAAAAUGUAUGCAUUCACUACUGUAAGUUGCUCUGGAUAAGAGCGUCUGAUAAAUGACUGAAAUGUAAUGUCAGACAAACGCCAAUUUAAAUGUAAUUUAACGUAUAAAAUGAAAACUGGCUUAUUACAUGAGAAAGGCUGUAAAACAUGACCAUGUUAUAAAAACACUGCAGCAAUUACUCAACUUGCAUGACAGAAUUACACUAGAAUGACGUAGCACACUUCACAGACAGGAAGACCAUUACUGAUUGAGAAGAAAUCUCAAAGCGCUUAAAAACACUAAAU